UGUAACACCCUAACAAAACCUUAACAUCAUAAGAUGAGCCCGAUUGCAUAAUAUUAAGUGCAUGUGAUAUUAGCUUCAACUUUUUGUGCCGAAAUUAUUUUCUCUAACAAUUGCAUUACCAAGUUUUUCCUUUUUUCCAACUAGCUUGACCAUCUUAACUAACACAUAGGGAGAGUAUAAUCUAGAGUUUUGGGGUUGCGGAAAAGCUUAAUUGAAGCCCCUGGCAUUUCAUCAAGCACCAUUGGUGCAUGGCCAGAUUUGGCAUGAGCUUGAACUACACUUCAGAGUUGCUCCACUAACCCUAAUUAUUUGUUCAUCGCAUUGGCCUUAACCCAUAGCUCGAGCCUGGUAAGUCUAAGCAGUCUUGGAUGUGUGUGGCAGUGUUGGGCAUUGCAUCGAACACCUUGCGUGGGUGCUCUCGGGACGCCCAGAGCACAUGUUUUGCACGCGCGUGUGUCGAGGCGACGCGUCCGCGCACCCCUUGCCCUUUUGGUGUGAUAUAGAGUCGCGUCAACGCUCCUCCCCGUCCAGUAGUCACCGCCCCUGUAUGCACGCAGUACCUCAGUGACGCAAUAGCCGUGGAGGCGAGCCGGCGUCCUCUCUGCUGUUGUAGUGGUCAGCGCAGCUCAAGUUCCUCCAGCGCGCCAGCUGCCCGUGGUCCUUCCCUCUGAAUCAUCCUACAACUGUUGGCAAUCCUGCUGAUCCCCGUUGCCGCCCCUGUGCACCUAAACCAUCACCAGAGCCUGUCGCAGGCGUGCUUAUCCACAGCUACCACGGAACCGUCAUUGCCCGGCUAUAAAAGGGCUGACUAGAGCCCUCCGAGCGUCUCAGGAGUCCCCUCCGACUGGCAGCUCGCUCCCCCUCGCGCAAAUUCGAUCAGAUCCCCUCGUCUUGCCGUCCCUCUGGCCGCAUCACCGUCAGCCAUCUCUGAGUAAAUUUGGGCAGCCCCGAGUCCGGCUGCUCCUCUGCAGCCAUAGCUAGCCUCCCUCAGCCAUCGCAAAUCCAUCCUUGAUCCAAUUUUGGCCUGGGAACCAGCGUAGCCGGAGUUCCCCUCCUGGCCGAUGCCUCCGUCCGCCAUGAGCAAAGUCUUGCCUAGCCGGAUCCCACGGGGCGCUCCUCUACCCUCCACGUGGUGCGGCUCAUCCUCCUGAGCUCGUGGAUGGGUCGAGCAUUGAGGAUGGUGCCCUGUGCCGCCAGUGAGCGUUGCCGGAACUCACCCUGGCCCUGUCCCCUGCGCACGAGAGGAGGAAGGAGGAAACCUAACAGGCGGGCCCCGCCUGUUAGCGAGGCAAGCCUCGGCCCCGAUGACACAGCCGAGUCUGCACGCUUGUCUCCAAUGAAGGCGUAACGUGGACUCGGAGAGAGGAGGCUUUUUCCAUGAUUUUGGGGUGCACCUUACCCUCCUCAAACUCCAAAGGCAAGAAUCUUGAACUCAAAUUUGCAAAACUUUGGGUGAUGUCUGUGGUGGUGCAUCUAUUUCUUGAUUUUUAGAUUAUGUUAACAACAAUCUUGCAUGAAAUAAUACCUUACAUUAGACCAUGUGAUGGAUAUUUUGUUGCUAGGUUUGUGGGAGGCAAGUGGUGAGUGGUUACAGCCUCAUACCUCGUAUGCUACGUUGGUCCGGACAACCUCAGAGUAAGGUGUGUCCUGGUGGAAAUAAGACCAUGGGCUGACAUCUCGUGGAACGAGAGUGGUCAUUGAAAGCAUGUCGGAGUGUGAUGGAAGUAACCCUGAGAUAAUUUCUGAGCAAGAUUAUGUGGUACUAACCCUUGCACGAAAACAUUGAACCUCCUAAGUCGACCGUAGAUCGAGUCUUGUCUUUGUGUCACCUUACCUAUCGUGCCGCCACAGGUCCUUAAGGGAAUACGGUCUAGUAGGUCAUAAAUCUAUUACCAGGUACACACGAAAUAGAGAUGCCGGGAUGAAGGUA
Hordeum vulgare subsp. vulgare (domesticated barley) is the source of this 1930-nucleotide long non-coding RNA. RefSeq lists it as uncharacterized. Lineage: Eukaryota; Viridiplantae; Streptophyta; Magnoliopsida; Poales; Poaceae. The transcript has 2 exons. The record is from RefSeq and is a predicted model, not a curated record.